This is a long non-coding RNA of Papaver somniferum (opium poppy), 488 nucleotides long. RefSeq lists it as uncharacterized. The record is from RefSeq and is a predicted model, not a curated record. The transcript has 3 exons. Lineage: Eukaryota; Viridiplantae; Streptophyta; Magnoliopsida; Ranunculales; Papaveraceae.
UCUUUUAUCACCUUUACCAAUUUCACUUCGAAAAUCAGAAAUCCUUCUCCUUCCUGCUCCACUCGUCAACAGUACCGUCUUUCUCUCUCAAGAUGCCAAACCCAUAUCUUCUCCAUCUCUCCCUAAUCAAUUAGAUGUCCAAUUCGUACUCCUAUUGUUUUAGUCAUUUCAAGCUUACCCUAGAUAUCAAUAGUUGUUACUCGAGGAACAAUAGGCCGGAGAAUUUGUCCUAAGAACAAUGAGAAUAGCGAAGGGAAGGUCUGAAUUUCUUGUUCUCUAUAACAUCAACAUCGUCAAAUAAUAGGGUGGCUGUAAACUGAAGACUCCAUCGGUGGUACCUAUGGUGCUGCUGUUCAAACCAAGGAAAAAGAGAAAAGGGAGCAGCAGAACCAGUUUUUCGAGCCUAAACCCGGUUAUAUACCGGCGGUGCCAAAUGUUGAAGUUAGGAAUAAUGGAUCCAACAAUGAUGACUUGAGCAACCAUGGAGC